UUAUUGUAAUGUUGCAGUUAUUAUGAUAGUACAUCCUAUUUUGGUACCUUGGAGAAAUGGGAAAGAAAGGUUGACUGAAUUGUUUCCAACAACUGCAAGAUUAGGAAACUAUGUGGACACACUUACGCUUUUCUUCCUCAUUCAGGCCAACAUUGCAAAAAAGGAAAACAUCAAGAUCCAUGGUUUUUGAGCCCUGUUAGCAUAAACAAAUCUCCAUAUGCAAAUUAUCUAUUGUUGGGGGGCAGUAACUACUAGUAUAAUGUGAAAGAGUUAUAUGUGGUCAAAACUGUUUGAAAUCUGUUUGUUAGAUGGAUUUGAGAUUUGUUUUGUUGGGGGGAAGUGUGUUAGUUUGCCAUUUACGCAAGUCCAAUUUGUGCUAUCAGUAUGUGUUGAGGAAGGGAUUAAUAAAUUUCUUAAUUUGCCUCCACAGUGCGGAAAAAGACCAAAAAGAUGUAGAAAUUCCAGUGGUGAGAAAGUUUCAGGAUGUAUUUCCAAAUGAGCUACUAGGUUUACCAUCACAUAGAGAGUUUGAUUUCUCUAUUGAAGUAUAUCCAAGAACGGAUCCUAUUUCAGUGGCCCCCUAUAGGAUGACCCCGCUUGAGUUGAAGGAGUUGAAAUCUCAGUUGGAGGACUUGUUGAGCAAGGGAUUUAUUUGUCCUAGUACAUCGCCAUGGGAAGCCCCAAUGUUGUUUGUGAAGAAGAAAGAUGGCAUGUUGAGGUUGUGUAUUGACUAUAGGAAGUUGAAUAGAGUCACUAUGAAGAAUAAGUAUGCUCUUUCAAGGAUAGAUGAUUUGUUUGAUCAGUUGAAGGGUGCAAAGUAUUUUAGUAAGAUUAACUUGAAAACUAGGUAUCAUCAACUGAGGGUUAGAGAGAAGAAGAUGUCCCAAGAAUGCUUUUAGAAUGAGAUAUGGACAUUACAAAUUUUUAGUCAUGCCUUUUGGAUUAAUUAAUGCCCCCAUUGCUUUUAUGGAUUUAGUGAAUAAAAUAUUUCAUGCUUACUUGGAUCAAUUUGUGAUUGUCUUUGUGGAUGACAUCUUGAUUUACUCGAGGAGUUUGGAGGAGCAUAAGCAACAUUUGGUGACCACUCUUAGAACUUUGAGAAGACACUAGUUGUAUGGAAAGCUAGACAAAAGUGAAUUUUGUCUCACUAAAGUGAAUUUCUUAGGCCAUGUGGUUCCUGAGGCAAGAAUAGCAGUGGACCAUUCCAAGGUGGAAGCUAUGCAGGAUUGAUAGAGGCCUACUAAUCUAUUUGAGGUUAAGAGUUUCUUGGGUUUGGUUGGAUACUAUAAGAGGUUUGUGGAUGGUUUCUCUAGAAUUGUAGCAUCGAUGAUUCAAUUGACUAGGAAAGAAGUCAAAUUCAAAUGGAAUGAGGAGUGUGACAAUUCUUUCCAGGAGUUGAAACAAAAAUUGACCACUGCUCUAGUGUUAACGACCCCCAUUAAUGGAGAGUUUACGAUUUAUUGUGAUGCUUCUAUAGUUGGGCUAAGGUGCGUGCUAAUGCAGCAAGGCAAGGUGAUGGCUUAUGCCUCAAGGUAAUUAAGGCUGCAUGAACGGAACUAUCCAACACAUGAUUUGGAGCUUGCAGCAAUGGUGUUUGCCCUCAAGACUUGGAGACACUAUUUGUAUGGAGAGAAGUUUAAGGUGUAUUAUGAUUAUAAGAGUUUGAAAUUCAUCUUCACUCAAAAGGAUUUGAACUCUAGGCAAAGAAGAUGGAUGGAGGCGUUAGAAGAUUAUGAUUUUGCUCUUCACUACCAUCUUGGAAAGGUGAAUGUUGUAGCAGACGCCCCGAGUAGAAAGAACUAUGGCCAGUUGUCUAGCUUAUGAUUGAGAGAGUUCGAGAUUUAUGCAGUUAUUGAAGAUUUUAAGUUAUGUCUUGGUUGGGAAGGAUAAGGCCCAUGCUUGUAUAGUAUGCCAGCUAGACCAAUGAUUAUCCAAAGAAUAGUGGAGGCUUAAGUUCAUAAUGAGCUUUUAGAGAAGGUUAAAGCCCAGUUGGUAGAAGGUGAAGUAGAUGAAAAUUGGUCUAUGCAUGUAGAUGGGAGUGUGAGAUUUAAAGGAAGAUUGUGUGUUCCAAGCAAAGUUUUUAAAGGCGAAAGCGUAAGGCGAGGCGUUUUUGUGUUCGUGAGGCGAGGCGUAAGCCUCGAGGCGUUGAGGCGAAUGUGAAGAAACCAUAUGAUCCGAUGAUGCUUGCGUCUCUUGGGAGUUGGAUGACACAACUCUAAUGGCAUCAACAUUGAAUAAUUCAUUAUCUUGAAGCCAACAAAGAUCAAGGGGGAGGAGGGGAUCUUCUUUCUCCGCAAUCCAUUCAUCAUCAGAAUCAAUCUCCUCUACCAAGAUUGGAUCAACAUUUUGUUUCCUUUGUAGACUUCGCUCUCUCAAUCUAGUGUUGUACCUUACAUACACUAGAGCAUUCAACCUUUGAUGUUCAAGUCUAUUUCUUUUUUUUGUAUGGAUCUACAAAUAAUAAAAGAAACAAUUUUAUGUGUUAAAAUGAAAUAAA
Long non-coding RNA from Vitis vinifera (wine grape), 2497 nucleotides. RefSeq lists it as uncharacterized. The transcript has 2 exons. The record is from RefSeq and is a predicted model, not a curated record. NCBI's taxonomy places the organism in Eukaryota, Viridiplantae, Streptophyta, Magnoliopsida, Vitales, Vitaceae.